Long non-coding RNA from Anoplophora glabripennis (Asian longhorned beetle), 265 nucleotides. RefSeq lists it as uncharacterized. NCBI's taxonomy places the organism in Eukaryota, Metazoa, Arthropoda, Insecta, Coleoptera, Cerambycidae. The record is from RefSeq and is a predicted model, not a curated record. The transcript is spliced from 2 exons.
ACUGCCUGGUGGAUGUCUGGACCUGUCUGGUAGGUACGACUGCCGGGGUACUGGAUAGCUAGGGCUGGAAGGGUACUUCGUAACCAUAUACUAAGGCACCACCUGCGGGGAGGCCACUGGUUGGCCAGCAACAAGGAAAACAUAUGUGAACAAAACCAACAAAACUACCCUAACCCAAUCAUUUGCAACCCACUAUCUACUCUCCCCUCUUGGGAAUGAUCUUAAAGAUGAUAAGUUAGGAGCAAUAAAAUAAACCUGUAACAAC